This 306-nucleotide unclassified non-coding RNA is filed under the name plant metagenome. Its description in RNAcentral is "partial contains 5.8S ribosomal RNA, internal transcribed spacer 2, and large subunit ribosomal RNA". The stretch from base 1 to 105 matches the Rfam family "5.8S ribosomal RNA", at positions 50 to 154 of the family's 154-position model. The record is from RNAcentral.
GAAAUGCGAUAAGUAAUGUGAAUUGCAGAAUUCAGUGAAUCAUCGAAUCUUUAAACGCACAUUGCGCCCGCCAGUAUUCUGGCGGGCAUGCCUGUCCGAGCGUCAUUUCAACCAUCAAGCCCCCGGGCUUGUGUUGGGGACCUGCGGCUGCCCGCAGGCCCUGAAAACCAGUGGCGGGCUCGCUGUCACACCGAGCGUAGUAGCAAUCACCUCGCUCAGGGCGUGCUGCGGGUUCCGGCCGUUAAACAGCCUUACAAAACCCAAGGUUGACCUCGGAUCAGGUAGGAAGACCCGCUGAACUUAAGC